UACGGAAGGGGCAAGCGUUGUUCGGAAUCAUUGGGCGUAAAGAGCGUGUAGGCGGCCAGGUAGGUCUGCUGUGAAAACUCGAGGCUUAACCUCGAGAUGUCGGCGGAAACCAUCUGGCUAGAGUCCGGAAGAGGAGAAUGGAAUUCCCGGUGUAGCGGUGAAAUGCGCAGAUAUCGGGAAGAACACCCGUGGCGAAGGCGGUUCUCUGGGACGGUACUGACGCUGAGACGCGAAAGCGUGGGGAGCGAACAGG
This 253-nucleotide ribosomal RNA is filed under the name uncultured bacterium. Its description in RNAcentral is "partial 16S ribosomal RNA". It matches the Rfam family "Bacterial small subunit ribosomal RNA", at positions 524 to 776 of the family's 1533-position model. The record is from RNAcentral.